Molecule: ribosomal RNA, 405 nt
Filed under: uncultured soil bacterium
Lineage: Bacteria
Description: bacterial SSU rRNA
Rfam family: Bacterial small subunit ribosomal RNA
Source: RNAcentral
AGAACGAACGCUGGCGGCAUGCCUAAUACAUGCAAGUCGAACGAACACUUCGGUGUUAGUGGCGCACGGGUGCGUAACGCGUGGGAAUCUGCCCUUGGGUUCGGAAUAACAGUUGGAAACGACUGCUAAUACCGGAUGAUAUCGAAAGAUCAAAGAUUUAUCGCCCAGGGAUGAGCCCGCGUAGGAUUAGCUAGUUGGUGAGGUAAAGGCUCACCAAGGCGACGAUCCUUAGCUGGUCUGAGAGGAUGAUCAGCCACACUGGGACUGAGACACGGCCCAGACUCCUACGGGAGGCAGCAGUAGGGAAUAGUUGGACAAGUGGGCGCAAGCCUGAUCCAGCAAUGCCGCGUGAGUGAGUGAAGGCCGUUAGGGUUAGUAAAGUCUUACUUUUACCGAGUAUGAUAA